GACGAACGCUGGCGGCGUGCUUAACACAUGCAAGUCGAACGGAAAGGCCCUGCUUUUGUUGGGUGCUCGAGUGGCGAACGGGUGAGUAACACGUGAGUAACCUGCCCUUGACUUUGGGAUAACUUCAGGAAACUGGGGCUAAUACCGGAUAGGAGCUCCUGCUGCAUGGUGGGGGUUGGAAAGUUUCGGCGGUUGGAGAUGGACUCGCGGCUUAUCCGCUUGUUGGUGGGGUAGUGGCUUACCAAGGCUUUGACGGGUAGCCGGCCUGAGAGGGUGACCGGCCACAUUGGGACUGAGAUACGGACCAGACUCCUACGGGAGGCAGCAGUGGGGAAUAUUGCACAAUGGGCGGAAGCCUGAUGCAGAAACGCCGCGUGCGGGAUGACGGCCUUCGGGUUGUAAACCGCUUUCGCCUGUGACGAAGCGUGAGUGACGGUAAUGGGUAAAGAAGCACCGGCUAACUACGUG
RNAcentral lists this ribosomal RNA (468 nucleotides) under uncultured bacterium. RNAcentral's name for it is "partial 16S ribosomal RNA". It matches the Rfam family "Bacterial small subunit ribosomal RNA", at positions 28 to 507 of the family's 1533-position model. The record is from RNAcentral.